UACAGAGGGUGCGAGCGUUAAUCGGAAUUACUGGGCGUAAAGCGCACGUAGGUGGCGACGUAAGUCGGGUGUGAAAGCCCCGGGCUCAACCUGGGAAUUGCAUUCGAGACUGCAUUGCUGGAGUACGGAAGAGGAAGGCGGAAUUCCCGGUGUAGCGGUGAAAUUCGUAGAUAUCGGGAGGAACACCAGUGGCGAAGGCGGCGACCUGGGCAGAUACUGACGCUGAGGUGCGAAAGCGUGGGGAGCAAACAGG
This 253-nucleotide ribosomal RNA is filed under the name uncultured bacterium. Its description in RNAcentral is "partial 16S ribosomal RNA". It matches the Rfam family "Bacterial small subunit ribosomal RNA", at positions 524 to 776 of the family's 1533-position model. The record is from RNAcentral.